UACGUAGGGGGCAAGCGUUGUCCGGAUUUAUUGGGCGUAAAGAGCGUGUAGGCGGCUUGGCAAGUCCGCUGUGAAAACUCGAGGCUUAACCUCGAGAGGUCGGUGGAAACUGCCUAGCUAGAGUCCGGAAGAGGAGAGUGGAAUUCCUGGUGUAGCGGUGAAAUGCGCAGAUAUCAGGAAGAACACCCGUGGCUAAGGCGGCUCUCUAGUACGGUACUGACGCUGAGACGCGAAAGCGUGGGGAGCGAACAGG
This 253-nucleotide ribosomal RNA is filed under the name uncultured bacterium. RNAcentral's name for it is "partial 16S ribosomal RNA". It matches the Rfam family "Bacterial small subunit ribosomal RNA", at positions 524 to 776 of the family's 1533-position model. The record is from RNAcentral.